CCCCGCUGAGGCCUUGUUUAGUUGAUAAUUUUUUUUGAUUUUGAGUACUGUAGUACUUUUAUUUUGCACUAUGAUAAAUAUUGUUUAAUCAAAAACUAGCUAUGCUUAAAAGAUUCGUCUCGCAAAUUACAGAUAAACUGUGUAAUUAGUUUUUGUUUUCGUCUAUAUUUAAUGCUUAUUCAUGUGCCGUAAGAUCCGAUAUGAUGAGAAAUCUUGAAAUUUUUUUAGAUUUUUUUAGGAACUAAACAAGGCCUGAAUCAGAUCCGAAAUGUUACUUGCACCGAAUUUGUUUUCAUAUUUUUGUUAGUUUGGAAUAAGAUAUGAAUAAUAUAGAAUACCAAAUAUGAAUUUGUCUAGGCUACAAACUCAAAUAAAUGUGUGUCGAAUAUAGGAUGAGCCGGAUUCGAACAAUGUCAAUCACAAAAACUUCUUUGAAUAUUGAGUAAAUUCAACCCUCAUAUAUAUCACAUGUUUUUAAUUCUUAAUAAAGAGACGU
RNAcentral lists this long non-coding RNA (496 nucleotides) under Sorghum bicolor (sorghum). RNAcentral's name for it is "long non-coding RNA (SBIC_LNC013284)". The record is from RNAcentral. Lineage: Eukaryota; Viridiplantae; Streptophyta; Magnoliopsida; Poales; Poaceae.